Molecule: long non-coding RNA, 1111 nt
Organism: Ruditapes philippinarum (Manila clam)
Lineage: Eukaryota; Metazoa; Mollusca; Bivalvia; Venerida; Veneridae
Exons: 3
Source: RefSeq, a predicted model, not a curated record
GGUAACAUUCAAAAUAAAUAUACAUUUUACAUUUAAUAAUUUAUUUUGCAAGAAUAAUCUAGUAGAUCACGUGACCAAUAUAAAUUUGAAUUACCUAUAAUGUUCAGUUGAUAAAAAAGUCUUUUAUAAUUAAAGCAGUGUUUAUUUAUAUCCUAAUCGUUUUCAUCAGCAAAUACUCAUAAGACACCAUCACAAUAUUCCAUCUUUUGAAAUAUGUAUUAAAAUGAUUUUGUAGUAAUAUUUUCUUACAAACGUUGCAGGUAUCAGACGCUAGAUUUGAUGAAAUGCAAACCAUAGUGAGCAGCUCCUUCCAUGUUAAAUUCAAACAUAUUAUUGACGGUUUUUCCCUGUAUACUGGACUUGUAUUCUUUAUGCUUGGUCUUUUAAUCAUUAGUUUGAUAUUUGGCUACAUUGCUGUCUUUUUUGGAAAUAAAAUGGAUAGCCCCAGAUCGACUGUUAUUUUGAUAGUCUUAAUUUUUAUAAUGAUUCUAACACUUCCUACUUGGAUAACCAGUAUGACUUUAAUACGUCCUAUUUGGAUGGACACUGAAUAUAUCAUCGACAAGAAAAGUUGCGUGUACACUUGGAUAGUUAAGGUAAAAACGUACAGUACAGGUUAUGCUUACAUAUUUAUGGAAAUGUAUAUUUAUACUAAUUUAUAAAUUGUUUUCUUUUCAAAUGUUAGUAUUUUUAUAUGAUAGAAUUCGAUAUAAAACAGAACAUUUUCUACGUACAUCUAACUACUUUCUUUCUUCUAAAAUCAGGGUUGGUUACUUUUGAACAUUUUAUAUCAGUACUAUCAAAACGUUUAAUAAAUUAAAUAUGCUAUCUAUUUGAACAGCCCAGCUUUUAAAGUAGUGAACACGAGCCUAAUAUUUAAAAUACCAUUGUGUUGUUUUACAGUCGACAAAGAAUCUGAACAUGAAGCUUUGGUGGAAAAUUAACAAAGACACAAUAAGAGCAGACAAAUACUUUGAAUUUUUUCGAGACGGCUAUUUGGACAUUGUUCGCUUUGACCCAGAGCCAUGUAAGAUUGUGUUUGAACGACGAUGUCAGAAUCUUAAAUCCCUUACUAAGUUCGUGACUCGCAGAGUGGGAGAAACGGAAAAGG